AGUGAACGCUGGCGGUAGGCCUAACACAUGCAAGUCGAACGGCAGCACAGUAAGAGCUUGCUCUUACGGGUGGCGAGUGGCGGACGGGUGAGGAAUACAUCGGAAUCUACUUUUUCGUGGGGGAUAACGUAGGGAAACUUACGCUAAUACCGCAUACGACCUACGGGUGAAAGCAGGGGAUCUUCGGACCUUGCGCGAUUGAAUGAGCCGAUGUCGGAUUAGCUAGUUGGCGGGGUAAAGGCCCACCAAGGCGACGAUCCGUAGCUGGUCUGAGAGGAUGAUCAGCCACACUGGAACUGAGACACGGUCCAGACUCCUACGGGAGGCAGCAGUGGGGAAUAUUGGACAAUGGGCGCAAGCCUGAUCCAGCUAUACCGCGUGGGUGAAGAAGGCCUUCGGGUUGUAAAGCCCUUUUGUCGGGAAAGAAAAGCAGCAGGUUAAUACCCCGCUGUUCUGACGGUACCCAAAGAAUAAGCACCGGCUAACUUCGUG
This 492-nucleotide ribosomal RNA is filed under the name uncultured bacterium. Its description in RNAcentral is "partial 16S ribosomal RNA". It matches the Rfam family "Bacterial small subunit ribosomal RNA", at positions 29 to 507 of the family's 1533-position model. The record is from RNAcentral.